Molecule: non-coding RNA, 1011 nt
Organism: Physcomitrium patens
Lineage: Eukaryota; Viridiplantae; Streptophyta; Bryopsida; Funariales; Funariaceae
Source: RefSeq, a predicted model, not a curated record
UUGUCCUUAAAACGAUGCUCCACGCAGCUCUUGCAGCAAUUUGUAGUUAGAACCUCAAGGAUUGUUAGUCGUUCAUUUUUUAGUAAUAGAAAAGCAUUUUUCAACGGCGUUGCAGAUUACUCCUCUCUGGUGUGGUAGUUCGGAUAACGGAGUACCGUGUCUUGUAGGAUUUACAUUGACUUGAUGAGAGGAGAUGUAGGGAGCAGUAUUUUGUCCACCUUUGGAAACAAGCAGUGCAGCGGCUGUGGGAAUCCAUCGAGAUGCUCAAAGGAAUUCGAACGUUUUCGAUGCGUGAGAAACUUGUGAUUUCACCAAAUCGUGCCAGAUGCUCUCCCUUUGAAGGGGGAGCUAACCACAAGCAGGCCAAAGUUGGUUUAUGGUGCAGAGUUCACGCCAAAUGCAUCUGAUAAGGUACCAAACGUGCAAUCAGUGUCUACAAUUAUGGACCAGAGGAUUCCGUCAACGUCGACAGUGGAUUCAUAUCCUCUCUCUUUCGCAGUAAUUAGAGCCGCCUCUGUAGCAGCGUUGGUUUCCUUAGUCAUUAUGAUUACACUAGCUUUGCUUCUGCAAAUGGCGUUUGAGUCCAGCGUGUGCCUCAUCGACGCAGGAAGUACAUCCACGUCUCGAACAGUCUGGGUGAACCUUCCCAUCGAUAAACCAGGGGAAGGGUACUUUCUAAUUCCGUUACAUCUUUUUAAAACAACAUUCAUAGACCGCAUCGUAAUGCCGCUACUAUUCACACUCCUGAUCAUCGUAGCAUCCGCACUUCUGGUACAAAAUCUAGAAUUGGAGUAUUAUUUCUAUUAGAUCUUCAUUAAUUCUUCUCAAAACCUCCGUCUAUAUCCCGCAGCUUUAGCUAUUGGAGUUGGAUUCUAGAUUUAUUGAAAAAAUACAUUAUAUAGGAAUAUCCAUGGAUCAUAGGUUGGAAGUACCAGAGAGCUUCACAAUCUUGCUUUUUUUCUGUACACACUCAAUCCAUUCCAUCAAAAGAGCUUGCACUUACAAAGCACA